GAUGAAGAACGUAGCGAAAUGCGAUAAGUAAUGUGAAUUGCAGAAUUCAGUGAAUCAUCGAAUCUUUGAACGCACCUUGCACCCUUUGGUAUUCCGAAGGGUAUGCUCGUUUGAGUGUCAUUGUACUCUCACACUUCCGAUCGUUUGGAUCGGGAGCGGUGGACUUGGGUGUUGCUGCUUUACUGUGGCUCACCUUAAAUGCAUUAGUGCACCUUUCGGUUGGACAUAGUACGGCGUGAUAAGUGUCUUCGCCGGCACCUCACAGAGGGUGGCUGAUCGGGAGCUCUGUGCUUCAAACCGUCCUCGGACAACAGCUGGCAACUUGACCUCAAAUCGAGUAGGACUACCCGCUGAACUUAAGCAUAUCAAUAAGCGGAGGA
This 380-nucleotide unclassified non-coding RNA is filed under the name soil metagenome. RNAcentral describes it as "partial contains 5.8S ribosomal RNA, internal transcribed spacer 2, and large subunit ribosomal RNA". The stretch from base 1 to 120 matches the Rfam family "5.8S ribosomal RNA", at positions 35 to 154 of the family's 154-position model. The record is from RNAcentral.